This 301-nucleotide ribosomal RNA is filed under the name uncultured bacterium. RNAcentral describes it as "partial 16S ribosomal RNA". It matches the Rfam family "Bacterial small subunit ribosomal RNA", at positions 509 to 807 of the family's 1533-position model. The record is from RNAcentral.
CAGCAGCCACGGUAAUACGGAGGGCGCGAGCGUUACCCGGAUUUACUGGGCGUAAAGGGCGUGUAGGCGGCCUGGGGCGUCCCAUGUGAAAGGCCACGGCUCAACCGUGGAGGAGCGUGGGAUACGCUCAGGCUAGAGGGUGGGAGAGGGUGGUGGAAUUCCCGGAGUAGCGGUGAAAUGCGCAGAUACCGGGAGGAACGCCGAUGGCGAAGGCAGCUACCUGGUCCACUUCUGACGCUGAGGCGCGAAAGCGUGGGGAGCAAGCCGGAUUAGAUACCCCAGUAGUCCCUGUCUCUUAUAC